RNAcentral lists this ribosomal RNA (898 nucleotides) under uncultured archaeon. Its description in RNAcentral is "bacterial SSU rRNA". It matches the Rfam family "Archaeal small subunit ribosomal RNA", at positions 102 to 998 of the family's 1478-position model. The record is from RNAcentral.
GGAUAACCUGCCCUUGGGACCGGGAUAACCCCGGGAAACUGGGGAUAAUACCGGAUAACGCAUAUCUGCUGGAAUGCUUUAUGCGUAAAAUGGAUUUGUCUGCCCAAGGAUGGGUCUGCGGCCUAUCAGGUAGUAGUGGGUGUAAUGUACCUACUAGCCUACGACGGGUACGGGUUGUGAGAGCAAGAGCCCGGAGAUGGAUUCUGAGACAUGAAUCCAGGCCCUACGGGGCGCAGCAGGCGCGAAAACUUUACAAUGCGGGAAACCGCGAUAAGGGGACACCGAGUGCCAGCAUCCUAUGUUGGCUGUCCAUAUGUAUAAAUCACAUGUGUUAGCAAGGGCCGGGCAAGACCGGUGCCAGCCGCCGCGGUAACACCGGCGGCCCGAGUGGUGGCCACUAUUAUUGGGUCUAAAGGGUCCGUAGCCGGUUUGGUCAGUCUUCCGGGAAAUCUGACGGCUUAACCGUUAGGCUUUCGGGGGAUACUACCAGGCUUGGGACCGGGAGAGGUAAGAGGUACUACGGGGGUAGGAGUGAAAUCUUGUAAUCCCCGUGGGACCACCAGUGGCGAAGGCGUCUUACCAGAACGGGUCCGACGGUGAGGGACGAAAGCUGGGGGCACGAACCGGAUUAGAUACCCGGGUAGUCCCAGCUGUAAACUAUGCUCGCUAGGUGUCAGGGACGGUGCGACUGUUUCUGGUGCCGCAGGGAAGCCGUGAAGCGAGCCACCUGGGAAGUACGGUCGCAAGGCUGAAACUUAAAGGAAUUGGCGGGGGAGUACUACAACGGGUGGAGCCUGCGGUUUAAUUGGACUCAACGCCGGAAAACUCACCGGGGGCGACAGCAAUAUGUAGGUCAAGCUAAAGACUUUACCAGAAUCGCUGAGAGGAGGUGCAUGGC